GCUCGGAUGGUGGAAUGGUAGACACUGGGGACUUAAAAUCCCCUGGCAGAAAUGCCGUGAGAGUUCGACUCUCUCUUCGAGCA
RNAcentral lists this transfer RNA (83 nucleotides) under Parachlamydiales bacterium. RNAcentral describes it as "tRNA-Leu". It matches the Rfam family "tRNA". Rfam says of the family: Transfer RNA (tRNA) molecules are approximately 80 nucleotides in length. Their secondary structure includes four short double-helical elements and three loops (D, anti-codon, and T loops). Further hydrogen bonds mediate the characteristic L-shaped molecular structure. tRNAs have two regions of fundamental functional importance: the anti-codon, which is responsible for specific mRNA codon recognition, and the 3' end, to which the tRNAs corresponding amino acid is attached (by aminoacyl-tRNA synthetases). tRNAs cope with the degeneracy of the genetic code in two manners: having more than one tRNA (with a specific anti-codon) for a particular amino acid; and 'wobble' base-pairing, i.e. permitting non-standard base-pairing at the 3rd anti-codon position. Lineage: Bacteria; Pseudomonadati; Chlamydiota; Chlamydiia; Parachlamydiales. The record is from RNAcentral.